GNUCUUGGNCAUGGGCGCAAGCCUGNUCCAGCCAUGCCGCGUGAGUGAUGAAGGCCUUAGGGUUGUAAAGCUCUUUCAGCGGGGAAGAUAAUGACGGUACCCGCAGAAGAAGCCCCGGCUAACUUCGUGCCAGCAGCCGCGGUAAUACGAAGGGGGCUAGCGUUGCUCGGAAUCACNUGGGCGUAAAGCGCACGUAGGCGGCUUUCUAAGUCAGGGGUGAAAUCCUGGAGCUCAACUCCAGAACUGCCUUUGAUACUGGAGAGCUUGAGUCCGGGAGAGGUGAGUGGAACUCCGAGUGUAGAGGUGAAAUUCGUAGAUAUUCGGAAGAACACCAGUGGCGAAGGCGGCUCACUGGCCCGGUACUGACGCUGAUGUGCGAAAGCGUGGGGAGCAAACAGGAUUAGAUACCCUGGUAGUCCACGCCGUAAACGAUGGAUGCUAGCCGUUGGCGGGUUUACCCGUCAGUGGCGCAGCUAACGCAUUAAGCAUCCCGCCUGGGGAGUACGGUCGCAGAUUAAACUCAAAGAAUUGACGG
This 535-nucleotide ribosomal RNA is filed under the name uncultured bacterium. Its description in RNAcentral is "bacterial SSU rRNA". It matches the Rfam family "Bacterial small subunit ribosomal RNA", at positions 359 to 916 of the family's 1533-position model. The record is from RNAcentral.